MicroRNA precursor from Bos taurus (domestic cattle), 76 nucleotides. The record is from Ensembl. Lineage: Eukaryota; Metazoa; Chordata; Mammalia; Artiodactyla; Bovidae.
GGGUUGGUCAAAAAGUUCGUUCGGGUUUUUCAUCAGAUGGUAUGGAAAAUCCCAAACGAACUCUUUGGGCAACCUA